This 497-nucleotide ribosomal RNA is filed under the name uncultured bacterium. RNAcentral describes it as "partial 16S ribosomal RNA". It matches the Rfam family "Bacterial small subunit ribosomal RNA", at positions 28 to 507 of the family's 1533-position model. The record is from RNAcentral.
GAUGAACGCUGGCGGCGUGCCUAAUACAUGCAAGUCGAGCGAACGGACGAGACGCUUGCUUUUCUGAUGUUAGCGGCGGACGGGUGAGUAACACGUGGAUAACCUACCUAUAAGACUGGGAUAACUUCGGGAAACCGGAGCUAAUACCGGAUAAUAUUUUGAACCGCAUGGUUCAAAAGUGAAAGACGGUCUUGCUGUCACUUAUAGAUGGAUCCGCGCUGCAUUAGCUAGUUGGUAAGGUAACGGCUUACCAAGGCAACGAUGCAUAGCCGACCUGCGAGGGUGAUCGGCCACACUGGAACUGGGACACGGUCCAGGCUCCUAAGGGAGGCAGCAGUAGGGAAUCUGACGCAAUGGGCGGAAGCCUGACGGAGCAACGCCGCGUGAGUGAUGAAGGUCUUCGGAUCGUAAAACUCUGUUAUUAGGGAAGAACAUAUGUGUAAGUAACUGUGCACAUCGUGACGGUACCUAAUCAGAAAGCCACGGCUAACUACGUG